GUGAGGAAUAUUGCGCAAUGGAGGCAACUCUGACGCAGCCAUGCCGCGUGCAGGAAGAAGGCGCUACGCGUUGUAAACUGCUUUUAACCGGGAAGAAACCCCAGGACGUGUCCUGGGUUGACGGUACCGGAGGAAUAAGCACCGGCUAACUUCGUGCCAGCAGCCGCGGUAAUACGAAGGGUGCAAGCGUUAUCCGGAUUCAUUGGGUUUAAAGGGUUCGUAGGCGGAGCGUUAAGUCAGUGGUGAAAUCCUGCAGCUUAACUGUAGACUUGCCAUUGAUACUGGCGCGCUUGAGUGCGCUUGAAGUGGGCGGAAUGUGCCGUGUAGCGGUGAAAUGCUUAGAUAUGGCACAGAACACCAAUUGCGAAGGCAGCUCACUAAGGCGAUACUGACGCUGAGGCACGAAAGCGUGGGGAUCGAACAGGAUUAGAAACCCCGGUAGUCC
RNAcentral lists this ribosomal RNA (445 nucleotides) under uncultured bacterium. Its description in RNAcentral is "partial 16S ribosomal RNA". It matches the Rfam family "Bacterial small subunit ribosomal RNA", at positions 354 to 796 of the family's 1533-position model. The record is from RNAcentral.